This is a long non-coding RNA of Mus musculus (house mouse), 747 nucleotides long. RefSeq annotates it as predicted gene, 33504. The record is from RefSeq and is a predicted model, not a curated record. The transcript has 3 exons. Lineage: Eukaryota; Metazoa; Chordata; Mammalia; Rodentia; Muridae.
GCCUUUGCACCAGGUAGCAUGAUAAGCAUCGAGCUGUUUCCUAGUUGUGUUCCUUUGUGCCUCAGUCUUACAAUAUGGGCAUGCUCUCCUCCUGAGCUCUGCAAAGGGAAGGUCCUGAUCUCUUACUCUUUUUCCAUUGUGCCACACCAUCCUGACUCCUUCAGUGCCUGCUCCUGCAUAUGGCAGAGGGGAUCAAGCCAGUCUAACUUCUCAGGAUCUGCUUCUCAUGGGGCAGACCAGACCUCGCCAUUCAUGCUCUCACACAAAAUACCCCAAAGGAGAAAAGCGCAAGGAAACUCCCAUAAUGCAUAGUGAGAAUCGUCAAAGAUGAAAGUCGAGGAUGGUGGAGAACUGUGGUCUGUGAUGUCCAUGUGCUGGACCUUUGUCAAGCAGCGGUGGCCUCUGUGUGGUCCACACCAAAGUUGCCUUGGCCAUACAUAGUGUCUUAUCCCAGCAAUGAAAAGUCAUCACCUUCCGACCCAGAUGCCCCCGGAGUGGAACAAGGUUGGAACCAACAGAAACUCACCUGAUUUAGAAGCUCAAGAAAAGCCUCUAUUCAAGAGUGCACAGAUUUGGGGUAGAUCCCAGUGGACGAGGGGGAGGGAAACACAGGAGUCACAAGUCCUCCAGUGUGCCUGACCACCUGACCAAGCGGCAGUGACUGACACCAUUACGCUCACUUCCUUCCCCCCCUUUGCAUUUUCUGGCUGGAGAUGAGAUGGAAGACAGACUUCGUAAUUCCUAAAA